Molecule: ribosomal RNA, 754 nt
Filed under: uncultured bacterium
Lineage: Bacteria
Description: bacterial SSU rRNA
Rfam family: Bacterial small subunit ribosomal RNA
Source: RNAcentral
AGAGUUUGAUCAUGGCUCAGAAUCAACGCUGGCGGCGCGCUUAACACAUGCAAGUCGCACGAGAAAGUGGAGCAAUCCAUGAGUAAAGUGGCGUACGGGAGUAACACGUGGAUCAUCUACCUCUUGGUGGGGAAUAACCCUGGGAAACCGGGGCUAAUACCGCAUAAGCCUGCGAAGGGAAAGCAGCAAUGCGCCGAGAGAGGAGUCCGCGGCCGAUUAGCUAGUUGGUAGGGUAAUGGCCUACCAAGGCAAUGAUCGGUAGCCGGCCUGAGAGGGCACACGGCCACACUGGCACUGAAACACGGGCCAGACUCCUACGGGAGGCAGCAGUGGGGAAUCUUGCACAAUGGAGGAAACUCUGAUGCAGCGACGCCGCGUGAGCGAUGAAGCCCUUCGGGGUGUAAAGCUCUUUCGACGGGAACGAUAAUGACGGUACCCGGAGAAGAAGCUGCGGCUAACUACGUGCCAGCAGCCGCGGUAAUACGUAGGCAGCAAGCGUUGUUCGGAAUUACUGGGCGUAAAGAGUGUGUAGGCGGUUCUCUAUGUUCGGUGUGAAAUCUCCCGGCUUAACUGGGAGGGUGCGCCGAAAACUGGAGGGCUUGAGUAUGGGAGAGGAAAGCGGAAUUCCUGGUGUAGCGGUGAAAUGCGUAGAUAUCAGGAGGAACACCUGCGGUGUAGACGGCUUUCUGGACCAUCACUGACGCUGAGACACGAAAGCGUGGGUAGCAAACAGGAUUAGAUACCCUAGUAGUCC